CGCAGUAGCCAAGUGGUAAGGCAAUGGUCUGCAACACCAGUAUGCGCCGGUUCAAAUCCGGCCUGCGC
This 68-nucleotide transfer RNA is filed under the name human gut metagenome. It matches the Rfam family "tRNA". Rfam says of the family: Transfer RNA (tRNA) molecules are approximately 80 nucleotides in length. Their secondary structure includes four short double-helical elements and three loops (D, anti-codon, and T loops). Further hydrogen bonds mediate the characteristic L-shaped molecular structure. tRNAs have two regions of fundamental functional importance: the anti-codon, which is responsible for specific mRNA codon recognition, and the 3' end, to which the tRNAs corresponding amino acid is attached (by aminoacyl-tRNA synthetases). tRNAs cope with the degeneracy of the genetic code in two manners: having more than one tRNA (with a specific anti-codon) for a particular amino acid; and 'wobble' base-pairing, i.e. permitting non-standard base-pairing at the 3rd anti-codon position. RNAcentral also lists the same sequence under 1 other name. The record is from RNAcentral.